Molecule: long non-coding RNA, 294 nt
Organism: Oreochromis aureus
Lineage: Eukaryota; Metazoa; Chordata; Actinopteri; Cichliformes; Cichlidae
Exons: 3
Source: RefSeq, a predicted model, not a curated record
AUUCAGUCCUGCAGUGCUGUGCAGGAAACUGUGAGCAGGACAGAAGAGAAGAGCUGCUUUCUGCACUCGAGCUAAAGCUUUAAUGUCCUCGACAACGAGCAGCUUCACUCAUCAUCGACUGUCACAGGAAGUCAUGUGGAAACUGCUGUUGACCUUCAGUCUGCUUUGCUGGACGUCUGAGGGCAGUGUGACCUGCAGAAAUGAAAACAAUGGUGAAGUGGACUGGUACAUCUUGUACAAGACGCCCAAGACAAAUACUUUACAGGGUGUGGAGUAUCUUUACAUCGAUUCACA